AUGUCAGUGUGAAUAAAUAUCAUAUGAACUUUAUAUACUUUGAAUUGGAUUCUCUUAUUGAAGUCUUAUCACUAGCUAACACUCAUCCACAUAUCUACCACGCUACAUAUUUAAGAGUGUUACACAUGCAAGGAAUAAUUCAGAUGCUACAAAUCAUUAAAAAAUUGGCUUUUCUACUCUAUAAUAAACAGGAGCACCAAUAAAAUUAGUCCAAAGAUCAAAAAGGUGAAAGAUCAUGCUGCUUUGAUGGACUGCAACACAGUAACGUGCAUGUCCACUUGCACAAAGGACAUUGCAAAAGAACUACAUCAGCCUCAAGAAGAACAAUAUGUCAACAGUGAAUAUCUGAAAGCAUAUUCUAUGCAGAUUUCUUGUAUUGGUUAUGCUAAAUGUAGCACAUAUACUGAGAAAGGGAACAAUCAUGAAUAUGAUUUUUACAUAUGGCAUUCUAGCCACUCUAAUUACCAAAGUAACAGCAUUCAUAUACAAUCAGUGUCCUGAUAACCAGACUGAUAAAUCGCUUAAACAAGAUGUGUAUUUCAUUUGAAAACAAUGAUUGUAAGUACACGUAUUUUACAUAACUGGAUGGUAAGCUAAAUGAUAGAGUGUUCCAAUGUCAAAUGUAAAGAGGGCAGGUGAUGUCACACAGACUGUGUCAUGUUAACCAAGGAAAAAAAGGAGUUCUGCAACAGAGGUUGUGCAGAAUCUGGAAGUAAUAAACAAUCCAGCCCCUGCAGAAGACCAAUAGAGUCAGCAUCCACGGCCUCUUACACGGUUUGCAGUUGUUGCGUCGUCGAUUAAACUACGAGGAGGAGGAGGACCAUCUAGAAACAGACUAGAAGGCACAGGAAGACAGUUCGGUGAGAAUUUGAAAAUUACCAGGUGCACCAGUAAUCAUGGCCGUUAAAUCAUUAGCUGGCAUCAUAAACAAACUUGUACAUGAGUCCUGCAUCAGCUAUAGUCAAAAUUAUCCAAGUCAAAAGGAUCAUGAAGAUUGUAUGUGGCUAGAAUGGUCAGAAAAGGUAGAUAAAUACUUUGAUGAAGCAAUGUUUAAAUUAGAUGAGUCGCAUUUUUCAGUUUGCUCACCAAGUUUACAAUAUUCAAGUUUUAUUUGAAGAAGAGCAGGAUCUAUGUGUGGGGGAAGUGUUCUAACGUCAUAGGCCUGCAGGGGAGGUGAUGUCACCACUGACUGUGUCAUGUUAACCAAGGAAGGAGAGGAGUUCUGCAACAGAGGUUGAGGAGAAUCUGGAAGUAGUAAACAAUCCAGCCCCUUCAGAAGACCAAUAGAGUCAGCACCCACGGCCCUCUUACAUGGUUUGCAGUUGUUGCGUCGUCGAUUAAACUACGAGGAAGAGGACCAUCUAGAAACGGACGAGGAGAAGGCGCAGGAAGACAGUUCGGUGAGAAUUUGAAAAUUACCAGGAGCACCAGUAAUCAUGGCCGUUAAAUCAUAAGCUGGCAUCAUAAACGAACUUGUACACGAGUCCUGCAUCAGCUGUAGUCAAAAUUAUCCAAGUCAAAAGGAUCACGAAGAUUGUAUGUGGCUAGAAUGGUCAGAAAAGGUAGAUAAGUACUUUAAUGAAGCAAUGUCUAAAUUAGAGAAGUCACAUUUUUUCAGUUUGCUCACCAAGUUUACAAUAUUCAAGUUUUAUUUGAAGAGCAGGAUCUAUGUGUGGGGGAAGUGUUCUAAUGUCACAGGCCUGCAGGGGAGGUGAUGUCACCACCGACUGUGUCAUGUUAACCAAGGAAGAAGUUCUGCAACAGAGUUGUGCAGAAUCUGGAAGCUACUGCAUGCUUAACAAAACCGGAUGGAACCUCGAUGAUAGAAUGUGCAAACCAGUAGGGGGGGGGGUAGAGUGAAUGGUAAGACAAUAGAUCGGAUGAAGGGAGGCAAGUUUCUCUGGGAUUGCCAGAGAGUGAUCACGGUUCAUAACUAGCUUGUAGGGGGAGGGGCCAGUAGGGGGGUAGAGUGAAUGGUAAGACAAUAGAUCGGAUGAAGGGAGGCAAGUUUCUCUGGGAUUGCCAAAGGAGUGAUCGCGGAUAAUAAUUAGCUUUUAGGGGGAGGGGAGGGGCCAGUAGGGGGGGUAGAGUGAAUGGUAAGACAAUAGAUCGGAUGAAGGGAGGCAAGUUUCUCUGGGAUUGCCAGAGGAGUGAUCACGGAUCAUAACUAGCUUGUAGGGGGAGGGCCAGUAGGGGGGGGGUAGAGUGAAUGGUAAGACAAUAGAUCGGAUGAAGGGGGGCAAGUUUCUCUGGGAUUGCCAGAGGAGUGAUCGCUGAUAAUAAUUAGCUUGUAGGGGGAGGGGAGGGGCCAGUAGGGGGGGUAGAGUGAAUGGUAAGACAAUAGAUCGGAUGAAGGGAAGCAAGUUUCUCUGGGAUUGCCAGAGGAGUGAUCACGGAUCAUAACUAGCUUGUAGGGGGAGGGGCCAGUAGGGGGGGUAGAGUGAAUGGUAAGACAAUAGAUCGGAUGAAGGGAGGCAAGUUUCUCUGGGAUUGCCAGAGGAGUGAUCACGGAUCAUAAUUAGCUUGUAGGGGGAGGGGAGGGGCCAGUAGGGGGGAUAGAGUGAAUGGUAAGACAAUAGAUCGGAUGAAGGGAGGCAAGUUUUUCUGGGAUUGCCAGAGGAGUGAUCACAGAUCAUAAUUAGCUUGUAGGGGGAGGGACCACUAGGGGGGUAGAGUGAAUGGUAAGACAAUAGAUCGGAUGAAGGGAGGCAAGUUUCUCUGGGAUUGCCAGAGGAGUGAUCACGGAUCAUAACUAGCUUGUAGGGGGAGGGGCCAGUAGGGGGGGUAGAGUGAAUGGUAAGACAAUAGAUCGGAUGAAGGGAGGCAAGUUUCUCUGGGAUUGCCAGAGGAGUGAUGACUAGGUCAGCUUGAGAUUUAAGAAAUAUAUUUUUCAUUUCAUACAUUUUAUAUUCAAUGUGAUGUCUUAUUUUAAGUAUGUGUUAUAUUGUUUUGUUGCAUUUACAAGUAUUUGUGAAGUUUGGUCAAGUAGAUAUGACCAUGGAUCAACUCGUGGAUUACAUAAUAUCCAACAGCUCCACAAGUUAUAAUAUUAAAACAGUCUGCUUUUUACUUCCAAGGGAACAUGUAUGUUCCUGUCUCAUCACAUUUUGGCUUUAGAGAUGGAGACAGGAUAGACCUCCAAGACUCAUCUCACAUAAUUCCUGUAUUUUCAUAUUCUGUAUAUGAAAAUACGAAUAUGAAUGGUAAGACAAUAGAUCGGAUGAAGGGAGGCAAGUUUCUCUGGGAUUGCCAGAGGAGUGAUCACGGUUCAUAACAAGCUUGUAGGGGGAGGGGCCAGUAGGGGGGUAGAGUGAAUGGUAAGACAAUAGAUCGGAUGAAGGGAGGCAAGUUUCUCUGGGAUUGCCAGAGGAGUGAUCACGGAUCAUAAUUAGCUUGUAGGGGGAGGGGAGGGGCCAGUAGGGGGGAUAGAGUGAAUGGUAAGACAAUAGAUCGGAUGAAGGGAGGCAAGUUUCUCUGGGAUUGCCAGAGGAGUGAUCACAGAUCAUAAUUAGCUUGUAGGGGGAGGGACCACUAGGGGGGGUAGAGUGAAUGGUAAGACAAUAGAUCGGAUGAAGGGAGGCAAGUUUCUCUGGGAUUGCCAGAGGAGUGAUCACGGAUCAUAACUAGCUUAUAGGGGGAGGGGCCAGUAGGGGGGGGGGGGUAGAGUGAAUGGUAAGACAAUAGAUCGGAUGAAGGGAGGCAAGUUUCUCUGGGAUUGCCAGAGGAGUGAUGACUAGGUCAGCUUGAGAUUUAAGAAAUAUAUUUUUCAUUUCAUACAUUUUAUAUUCAAUGUGAUGUCUUAUUUUAAGUAUGUGUUAUAUUGUUUUGUUGCAUUUACAAGUAUUUGUGAAGUUUGGUCAAGUAGAUAUGACCAUGGAUCAACUCGUGGAUUACAUAAUAUCCAACAGCUCCACAAGUUAUAAUAUUAAAACAGUCUGCUUUUUACUUCCAAGGGAACAUGUAUGUUCCUGUCUCAUCACAUUUUGGCUUUAGAGAUGGAGACAGGAUAGACCUCCAAGACUCAUCUCACAUAAUUCCUGUAUUUUCAUAUUCUGUAUAUGAAAAUACGAAUAUGAAUGGUAAGACAAUAGAUCGGAUGAAGGGAGGCAAGUUUCUCUGGGAUUGCCAGAGGAGUGAUGACGGAUCAUAACUAGCUUGUAGGGGGAG
Molecule: long non-coding RNA, 4167 nt
Organism: Lytechinus variegatus (green sea urchin)
Lineage: Eukaryota; Metazoa; Echinodermata; Echinoidea; Temnopleuroida; Toxopneustidae
Exons: 2
Source: RefSeq, a predicted model, not a curated record